This 440-nucleotide ribosomal RNA is filed under the name uncultured bacterium. Its description in RNAcentral is "partial 16S ribosomal RNA". It matches the Rfam family "Bacterial small subunit ribosomal RNA", at positions 338 to 795 of the family's 1533-position model. The record is from RNAcentral.
CCUACGGGUGGCAGCAGUAGGGAAUAUUGCUCAAUGGGGGAAACCCUGAAGCAGCAACGCCGCGUGGAGGAUGAAGGUUUUCGGAUUGUAAACUCCUUUUGUUAGAGAAGAUAAUGACGGUAUCUAACGAAUAAGCACCGGCUAACUCCGUGCCAGCAGCCGCGGUAAUACGGAGGGUGCAAGCGUUACUCGGAAUCACUGGGGGUAAAGAGCGCGUAGGCGGGAUAGCAAGUCAGAUGUGAAAUCCUAGGGCUUAACCAUAGAACUGCAUUUGAAACUGUUAUUCUAGAGUACAGGAGAGGUAGGUGGAAUUCUAGGUGUAGGGGUGAAAUCCGUAGAGAUAAGGAGGAAUACUCAUGGCGAAGGCGGCUUGCUGGACCAUAACUGACGCUGAUGCGCGAAAGCGUGGGGAGCAAACAGGAUUAGAUACCCUAGUAGUC